Molecule: transfer RNA, 60 nt
Filed under: Bifidobacterium longum
Lineage: Bacteria; Bacillati; Actinomycetota; Actinomycetes; Bifidobacteriales; Bifidobacteriaceae
Description: tRNA-Arg
Rfam family: tRNA
About the family: Transfer RNA (tRNA) molecules are approximately 80 nucleotides in length. Their secondary structure includes four short double-helical elements and three loops (D, anti-codon, and T loops). Further hydrogen bonds mediate the characteristic L-shaped molecular structure. tRNAs have two regions of fundamental functional importance: the anti-codon, which is responsible for specific mRNA codon recognition, and the 3' end, to which the tRNAs corresponding amino acid is attached (by aminoacyl-tRNA synthetases). tRNAs cope with the degeneracy of the genetic code in two manners: having more than one tRNA (with a specific anti-codon) for a particular amino acid; and 'wobble' base-pairing, i.e. permitting non-standard base-pairing at the 3rd anti-codon position.
Source: RNAcentral
CAGCGGAUUAGAGCAGCUGACUACGGAUCAGCAGGUCGCAGGUUCGAAUCCUGUCUGGCG